GAGAGAGAAAGUUUCACCAACGAACGCGGUUUCAUAGACAUUCAAUGUUCAUGCAUUAAAACACAGCUGUAACUGGUCUUGCUCACUUUCUUGUUUGCAUUACUAUAAUGUAUGAGAAAGGAGCAAUUUUUAUAUUGUAUUUUAGAUCUUAGCCCAUUAAAAGCUACCAACUUUUAUUGGAUCUUUCCAAAACUGACCUAGCAGACCAUCCUUAAGAGUAACUGAGACCCAAAAAUCGUCAUCAAAAGCAGUUUUCUGUUUUUUUGGGGUCUGAAAUUUUCAGUGCACUGGUAAUGUUCGUUGUAUGGUGUUUCUCUGUGAAGUUUCUUGGAGUCUAAGAUUCUAUUUUUGGAAAGACAAAUAAAAAUAUUUGGAAUUUUUAAAGUUUCUAUAAAUGGAAAAUUCAA
RNAcentral lists this unclassified non-coding RNA (407 nucleotides) under Hevea brasiliensis (rubber tree). Lineage: Eukaryota; Viridiplantae; Streptophyta; Magnoliopsida; Malpighiales; Euphorbiaceae. The record is from RNAcentral.